UUCAGUAUACCAAAACGCAAAGCAGAGCAGGCAACAGAUGGCACACAGACAGCAGAGUUGGGGACAGAUAUGCAGGGACAGACUGGCAGAGACAGGGAGUCUCAGGUAAGUUUGUUGAGUCUUUGUUUGGCAACAUUAUGAAAGGUUCUCAAUUUUUUUGACUAGUAAAAUAGGAACACAAUUGGAAAAUGCCAUGGAUACCCCCACUCUCAACUUAAACUGGUGACUGAACUAAGAUUUGUUAAAGGCAAUGGUAUUGCUGUUGUGAUUAGUUGUGUAGUUUUGGGUACCGGUAGUUAGGAGUACGGCAAACACCUUAUUUCUUUGGUUCCUCAAUAUACAUUUACCAUAUUACAACGUAGGCUAUGUGUUACAGCAUUACUUUUGGUGUCCCCCUCAGGAAUUGCUCUUGAGAAAAUUUCAUGUAAUUGUCCCCUCCAAAGUUGAUAUCAGAUUUUCGCCCCUGGUUACAGGGGCUUUCAUACUGGGGAGGAGAAGGGGCGUUUCAUCCUUCUAACCAAUGUCUGUGCUCCCGUGGGUGGGUUUACUUGAUUGAGCAUAAGUUUACUUAUGAAACAAUUCUCUCAUUUAGAAGCUGAAAUCACAUCUUCUCACAAAUAGUUUCAUGUUUAAUUAAUCACAUACGUUUUGCAACGUUUUGAUGUAAAUAUGAUAACUAGAAUGUGUGGACUUUCAAAUAUACAAUUCUGUCAUCCUAUCAUCAAUAACAAUCUACCAAAACAAUGACUGAUCUGACCCUUCCAUUACAGAAAUAUUGUUUCAUUGUUCAACUUUCUGAUGUUACCAUGCUGUAUAGUCUUUCUCUGUGGAACAAAGGCUUUCCAAAAGUCAAUUCUGUAGAGUGGAGAGAGAGUUUUGGUAUUUAUGGUAGGUCAUAAACAGGUGGGGGGGGGAAGUCAGGGCAAAGUCAUGACACCACCUAGUGAUGGCUAUUUAACAGUCUGACGGCCUUGAGAGAGAAGCUGUUUUUCAGUCUCUCAAUCCCAGCUUUGAUGCAUCUGUACUGACCACGCCUUAUGGAUGAUAAUGGGGUGAACAGGCAGUGGUUCGGGCACUUGUCCUUGAUGAUCUUUUUGGCCUUCCUGUGAUAUCGGGUGCUGUAUGUGUCCUGGAGGGUAGAUAGUUUGCCCCCGGUGAAGCAUUGGGCAGACUGCAAAACCCUCUGGAGAGCCCUGCAGUUACGGGCGGUACAGUUGCCGUACCAGGCGGUGAUACAGCCCGACAGGAUGCCCUCAAUUGUGCAUCUGUAAACGUUUGUGAGGGUUUUAGGUGCCAAGCCAAAUUUCUUCAGCCUCCUGAGGUUGAGAGGAGCUGUUGCGCCUUCUUUACCACACUGUCUGUGUGGGUGGACCAUUUCAGAUCAUCAGUGAUGUGUACACUGAGGAACUUGAAGCCUUCCACCUUCUCCACUGUGGUCCAGUCGAUGUGGAUAGGGGUAUGCUCUCUCUGCUGUUUCCACUGUCAGCUCCGAUGUUUUGUCGACAUUGAGUGAGAGGUUAUUUUUCUAGCACCACACUCCUGGGCCCCUCACCUCCUCCCUGUAGGAUGUCUCGUCAUUGUUGGUAAUCAGGCCUAAUUCUCUUGUGUCGUCUGCAAACUUGUUGAUUGAGUUGGAGGAGUGCGUGGCCACGCAGUCAUG
RNAcentral lists this long non-coding RNA (1660 nucleotides) under Salmo salar (Atlantic salmon). RNAcentral's name for it is "lncRNA (ENSSSAG00000115268.1)". The record is from RNAcentral. Lineage: Eukaryota; Metazoa; Chordata; Actinopteri; Salmoniformes; Salmonidae.